AGAACGAACGCUGGCGGCAGGCCUAACACAUGCAAGUCGAACGCCGUAGCAAUACGGAGUGGCAGACGGGUGCGUAACGCGUGGGAACAUACCCUUUGGUUCGGAAUAACUCAGGGAAACUUGAGCUAAUACCGGAUAAGCCCUUACGGGGAAAGAUUUAUCGCCAAAGGAUUGGCCCGCGUCUGAUUAGCUUGUUGGUGAGGUAAUGGCUCACCAAGGCGACGAUCAGUAGCUGGUCUGAGAGGAUGAUCAGCCACACUGGGACUGAGACACGGCCCAGACUCCUACGGGAGGCAGCAGUGGGGAAUAUUGGACAAUGGGCGAAAGCCUGAUCCAGCCAUGCCGCGUGAGUGAUGAAGGCCUUAGGGUUGUAAAGCUCUUUUACCCGGGAAGAUAAUGACUGUACCGGAGAAUAGCCCGGCUAACUUCGUGCCAGCAGCCGC
Molecule: ribosomal RNA, 443 nt
Filed under: uncultured bacterium
Lineage: Bacteria
Description: SSU rRNA
Rfam family: Bacterial small subunit ribosomal RNA
Source: RNAcentral